Echinops telfairi (small Madagascar hedgehog) is the source of this 61-nucleotide non-coding RNA. NCBI's taxonomy places the organism in Eukaryota, Metazoa, Chordata, Mammalia, Afrosoricida, Tenrecidae. The record is from Rfam.
CUCAAUCAAACUUUUCCCAAGCUGGGUAGCGAAAGGCACCUUUGGUUACCUGGAUGGACAG